UCUGAAUUGUGGUCAAGUAAAAUGAGCAGUGUCCAAUGAAAUGUAAUAAAUCGUAUUUUAUUUGACAUAUUACUACAUAACAUAACAUGUACGGUUGAACUGUUAUCCUUGUGUAGCAGGUAACGGCUAGUGAAAGUGUAGUUUAUGCUGACCGAAGUGCGAAUCACGUGACAUUUGUAGAGAGUGAGCUCGUGUUCAUUCAGUAGGCAGUUUUUCAAGGACAAAGAACAUGAAGAACGAACACGGAGCGAAAAAGGAAGAGACUUUAAUAUUUACAUGAAAACGUGAAAAGAUGCCGGUCCUAGUGUAGAGAGCCAGAGACUUUUAAUAUUUCAAUGGAAACAUGAAGUCCUUGUGAAGACAGCCAGUGGAUAUGUUAAAUGGUGCCAGGUGUUGUGUUGUGUAUGUCUCUUGCCUUCUGCUAUUGCAUGGAUCUUCAUUAUCUGCAGUUUAAUUCUAAAUAGAAGAGUACAAGAUGUCCCUAGAAUUUACUGACACUGGUCUUACUAAGAGCCUGAAACCUGCACCAAAAGACGCUUGUCCCUCAAGAAAUGUGAACAGCAUUGAACAACCUCAAGCUUGAGCUAAGCUCCCAAUUUCUAGAGUGUAUUUAAACCAUCUGUUCAAAGUCAACACCAUAUUUCAGGAACUGUGAUGACACUGAGGAAAUAUUCUACAAUCUUCACCAUGGUAACGGUUGAAUAGGGAUUCCCACAUAGCAAUUGCUGUACAGUGUAAUGCCAGCAUGUAUGUUUUUCUAAGCAAGCGACAGUGUGUCAAGGUGGAAGCUGUGCAUCUGGACAGGAUGAGAGUGGUUGUAUUCCAAUGGCUGUAAGCAUGAAAUCACCUGACCUUGUGUGGGAGACAUCUAUGAAUGGAUCAACCAGAUGUAUACCUCUAAUUUAAAGCUUGUGAAUUUGCACCUUCUGCACAACAUCAUGACCAAGUUUGUUCUGAUACCUGCCAUCAUUUCAGUUGACACUCAAAAUGGAAAAUUUUAUAGCUCCUAAAAUUCACCAUGGCGAUGACCUUCUGGCUGUCAGAAUAGGAAACAAAACAUAACUCAUUGAAAACCAAGAUAUCCUUGCUCUUCAAGUCUGCCGUAGAGCCCAAAGAUGUCACAGUCAAGAUAGUGCAUAUGUUCCUGUUCCAAGGUUAGCUACUGCAGACCAAACUGAAGGAGAAAGUAAAAUGCUAAUUCAU
Mercenaria mercenaria is the source of this 1203-nucleotide long non-coding RNA. RefSeq lists it as uncharacterized. The transcript has 7 exons. NCBI's taxonomy places the organism in Eukaryota, Metazoa, Mollusca, Bivalvia, Venerida, Veneridae. The record is from RefSeq and is a predicted model, not a curated record.